RNAcentral lists this long non-coding RNA (4651 nucleotides) under Homo sapiens (human). Its description in RNAcentral is "HSALNT0374543". The record is from RNAcentral. Lineage: Eukaryota; Metazoa; Chordata; Mammalia; Primates; Hominidae.
AAACAGGUCUUGCCUCAGCCUUACCCUUCUUGCUGCUGCUUCUGUUGGGUUUCAGAGGGCUUGCAGACUUCUGCAAUGACUUCAUCUAUAUUACUUUAUAGUAAUUUAUCUUAGUCCAGGUGCAGUGCCUCACACCUGUAAUCCCAGCACUUUGGAAGGCUGAGCUGGGAGGAUUGCUUGAGGCUGGCAGUUCAAGACUUCUUCCAUUUUAAGGGGCCUUGUGAUUACAGCUGGUCCAUCUGGAUAUUCUAAGAUAUUCUCCCUAUUUUAAGGAAGAUGAAUAAGAAGAGGGAGCCUCUUCCAGGAAGAUAAAUGCCGAAAAAGCUACCUUUUCUCCAUCUGGGGACGGAUGAUACCAAAAUGAUGCCCCCUUCCAGGCUGAUAAGGAGAGAAAUCUGAAAUCUGAGGUGCAGUUGAUUUGAAUCCAGGAAAUCUAAGGAAAAAGUUCAAGCUCUUAAUCAUUUCAUACCCUUCUUGUUGCUAACUUAAACUUUUUUUUUAAAAAAGUUAAUCUUGUCUAUGAAGCAUGAAUCUAUAAUACUAGGGAAAAAACUGGCUAACUUGAAGAAAAAAUAAAUUGAAAUGAAAAGCAAUUAAUUCCUCUUAAUAUGAAUAAAGGAUGAUCUAAAUGCUUUUUGAGAAAUGAUUUCAAGUAAUGAAAUUUACAGGAAAAAAAAUCCUCUUUUCUGAAUAAGCAAUCAUGGUAUUAAUCCUAAGUUCUUUAAUCUUUAUAUUUACAUUUGUUCUUAAAGCUUGGUGUUUUCUACCAAAACCAUCUGUGUAUCUCUGUCUAUCUUCACGUGUUCUUUCUGUAUACAUUCAUGCAUGCGCACACACACAGAGAUUUCAUUAUUUAUUCAUAAAAUAGUUGAAAAUCACUGCUUUGGCCCUUUUAACUGUAUAUAAAUCUCUCAGUUCUCUAGUGCUUGGAAAGGAAGUAUUUAUUUUAUUUUAUUUUUAUUUUAUUUAUUUUGAGAUAGAGUCUCACUCUGUCGCCCAGGCUGGAGUGCAGUGGUGCAAUCCUGGCUCACUGCAGCCUUAAUCUCCAAGGCUCAAGCUGUCCUCCCACCUCAGCUUCCCUCGUAGCUGGGACCACAGGCAUGCCACCACACCCAGCUAAUUUUUGUGUUUUUUUGGAGAGAUGGGGUUUCCUCAUGUUGCCCACGGUGGUCUGGAACUCCUGGGUUCAAGUGACUGGCCCUACCUUGGCCUCCCAAAGUUCUAUGAUUAGAGGCGUGAGUCACCCUCCCUCGCCAGGAAGUAUGACAAACAGAAUGAGCCUGCAACCAGAGUCUUUGAUUCAAACCCUUGCCCACCAUUCACUGACUGUUUGAGCCUCAGUAUCUUUAUGUGGAACAUGAGGUCUAUAACAGAACUUAACAAACAGGAGAUAAUUAUUAAUGAGAUUAAAUGCAAUGAGGAAUGUCAGUGGUACCCUCUCUGUAGAGGAACUUAAGGAGUUGAGCCUCCAAGCUUCUUUCUUGAUAUGCUGAUGAAAGACAUAGCCUAGUUUAUGGUGGGUGCUGCUUAAAUUCCAGCCCUCUCUCUUUCAGUCAACAGGCUUGGACUCAAAAUAAGCCCCAUUCAGGCUGAUUUGCCUGCCUAUAUCAGUCACAAACUGCACCUCUUGCAAAAACAGCUUUCCCUCCAAUGUGUACUGGCCUUGAAGAAGACUGAGAUAUAGGGAAACAAAGAUCUUUAAAAUCAAGUUACUGAAAGGUCACUGAAAUAAUAUACAGUGAAAGAUGGAUGAUGCCAUCAUUGUAUAAAUAAAGUCAGUACAACCAUUAAAGAACUUACAAGUAUGGGUUUUUUCUUCUCUAUGGUUAUGAUCAUGGAUAGAAUAAUUUUGAUAUGACCAUGAUUAUAUUAUAUCUGGAUGGUUUAGAUGUCUUUCAGAAAAUUAAUAUUUAUUCUUUGGCAUUAUAUAAUUUCUUAAAUAAACAUGAAGAGAGAAAUGUUUUGAAUAACAAUUCUCUAGUCCUAAAUUUUCUAUACUUAGCAUGUAUUGUUUCUUUUUUAAUAACUUACAACAACUUUAUUUUAAAAUUAGUUUAGGCAAUGUUUUUUGAAAUGGCUUCUUUGAAGUCGCUUCUUGGAAUGAUUAUAGCCAUUGUGUAAAGCCAGCAAUAAAAGAAGGAUUUGAAAGUAGAGAGUAGAACAGUAGUUACCAAGGGCUGGAGGCAGGGGUAGAGGAGAUAUUGAUCAAAGGACACAAAAUUUCAUUUAGGAGGAAUAAGUUAAAGAGACGCACUGUCACAUGGUGACUACAGUUAAUAACAAUGUGUUGUGUUAUUGAAAAUCCAUGAGGGUAGAUUUUAAGUGUUCUGACCACAAAAAAAAGCAUGUGAGGUAACACAUACAUUAAUUAGCUCUAUGUAGCCAUUCUAUAAUGUAUACAUGUUUCAAAACAACAUGUACACAAUAAAUAUAUAUGAUUUUUUAUUUGCUAGUUAAGAAAAGCGUUUGACACUUCAAAAAAUAAAAUACUUUUGGCAUAUGAAGAGUCAUUUACAAUCACGCCCCAGACUUUGUUGUUAAUAUUAGCAGGGAUAGUCAUUGCUUAUAAGGUCUUCACAUGCUUAUAAAAGAAGUUUCACUAAAUCUAGUUAGCAUUGAGAAGUGUUGACAAGAAGAGUUGAAAAUAAACCUCAAGACAACUUUCUGAUUUAAAAUUCUAUUUCUUGGUGUGUGAAUGUUAUUUUUGAGGAAACAUACACUUUAUUGCAACAUAAUAAAUAAAUGAGAAAAUAAGACAAUGUUAUUUUACCCAAUAUAGCAGGGUGGUCUUUAAAUAAGUGCAUAAAUAGCCCAUGAGAUAGUUUGAAGCUUUCAGCUUUGUCACCCUGUUGGUCUAGUCAAAUGACUCACAUAUUAGCAAUUUGUUUGCAAAACAUCUUCUUCUUAUAGUUUCCAUUGGAUUACAUAAGAUUGUUUUAUCCUGAUAGAUAAUCUGGACUUUCUUCACCAAAAGAAGGUUAAUAUUCCUACAAAUUUUAAACCAAAACAUUAAAUUUUAUACUGAAAAUACAUCUUCCUUGAGGUCAAGACUGUAGGGGAAGGCAGAUUUUUGGUGUCCUUAUCCAAAUGAUAGCCUUGCAAACCAGGCUGUUUUCAUGAGAGGAUUUUCUUACUUUAUUUAAAUCUUCUCUGAGCGUAACAGGAAAUAAAUCUGGAGACUCCAGCUUCUGGAGCUUUUCCACAAAGAAGAUAAUCUUUCUGAUUUAAAGACACAAUAAACCCUUCUUUCUCCAUGUUCUUCAAAAUCCAUAGAGCUCAAAUAACCACUUCUUUUCAUUCGCUAUAGAACAGCAUUAUUUCCAAAAUUGCAUUUAAAUCAUCUACAUACAGAAGGUUAAAUUUGUUUAAAAAUGAAUAAUUACAUUCAUUUCUUUACAUUUGUACUCUGAAUAAUGUGGAAUUUAAACUAGGUGUGGUUACACUUUAGCUAUGAGACAUUGGGCCGGUCACUUAUUCUCUUCAGAGGAUUAAAAGGAUAAAAUAUUUUAAAAAAUAUCUAUCUAUCUAUCUAUCUAUCUAUCUAUCUAUCUAUCUAUAGAUAGAUACACACACACACACACACACACACACAUAGAGUUCUUAUACAAACCCUCAUUAAAUGUAAUCCAAGUUGUAGACCCACAGUACUGAUUUAGGUAGGCAAAAUAUCAAAUUAACAACAACAAAAAAAUACCAGACAUAAAAAAUGUGUCUCAUAUUCUGGACACAUCAUUAUUCUCUGAAAUAUCCACAGACCACUCUAAUCUGAGCACACCCUAGGUGGACCAGGAACACAAGUAAUGUGAAUGACUGCAAUAAUAAAAUGAGUAUGUUAAACUAUCAAUUACUUGGCUUUGAUUCUGUGCUUGAAUUAUAUUCAAUGAGCCUCUGCUGUGUGCCAGACAAUGUUCUGGGCAGCAGCGACACACUGGUGAACAGUCCUUGCCUAUAUGGAGCUUACAUUUUAGAAGGCAAAGACAGACCAAUAAAUAAGUCAGCAAACAAUUCGUCAAUAUAACUUCAAAUAAUAACAAAUACUUUGAAGAAAAUCAACUAGGGUCGUGCCUGAGGGCUUGGGAAUUAAAUGUACUUUAGUUUGGAAACCAGAGAAGUCAUGGCUGAGGGAUUUAUAUCUUCACUGACAACUGAAGACCCAGAAGAAACCAGCAAGGCAAAGGCUGGGAAUCAAUGUCUCCAGCUGUGUCCUUGAGGAAGCAGGAAAUGCAAACGGCUCUAAAGGAAGAAGGAGCUUACUUAUUUGCCAAACAGAAAGAAAGUUGAUGAGAGCAAUGAAACCGCAAAUUAAUUAAGAUCAAGAAAACACUAACACCAAAACUCAAAGGAUGUUGGAAGCUUGAAAGAAGACCUCAAAGACAAUAUUUGGGCAUAUUUUAAGAGCAUCAUCAAUACUCUGUAUGGCACCGAGGAUGACUUAUGGAAAAACAGAGUUAUCAAUGACUUUUUGUUGGAAAUUAUCCAAAAGAGUAAGAUUCUGCAAAGAAGUUUGUGAAUUUAUUUACCAGUUUAUUUUUAUUUCUAUUUUCAUUUUACGAUUGCCUGAGAGUGAUAUUUGAAAAGUGUUAUAUUCAUAUAUGUCUAAAUUUUUCAACAAGUAUCAAAUAAAGAUUCUAAGUUAUAAGAAAGCAUUGUG